AACGAACGCUGGCGGCAUGCCUAACACAUGCAAGUCGAACGAGACCUUCGGGUCUAGUGGCGCACGGGUGCGUAACGCGUGGGAACCUGCCCUUAGGUUCGGAAUAACUCCCCGAAAGGGGUGCUAAUACCGGAUAAUGUCUUCGGACCAAAGAUUUAUCGCCUUUGGAUGGGCCCGCGUUGGAUUAGCUAGUUGGUAGGGUAAAAGCCUACCAAGGCGACGAUCCAUAGCUGGUCUGAGAGGAUGAUCAGCCACACUGGGACUGAGACACGGCCCAGACUCCUACGGGAAGCAGCAGUGGGGAAUAUUGGACAAUGGGCGAAAGCCUGAUCCAGCAAUGCCGCGUGAGUGAUGAAGGCCUUAGGGUUGUAAAGCUCUUUUACCCGGGAUGAUAAUGACAGUACCGAGAGAAUAAGCUCCGGCUAACUCCGUG
This 433-nucleotide ribosomal RNA is filed under the name uncultured bacterium. Its description in RNAcentral is "partial 16S ribosomal RNA". It matches the Rfam family "Bacterial small subunit ribosomal RNA", at positions 29 to 507 of the family's 1533-position model. The record is from RNAcentral.